Molecule: ribosomal RNA, 253 nt
Filed under: uncultured bacterium
Lineage: Bacteria
Description: partial 16S ribosomal RNA
Rfam family: Bacterial small subunit ribosomal RNA
Source: RNAcentral
UACGUAGGGGGCAAGCGGUGUCCGGAUUUAUUGGGCGUAAAGAGCGUGUAGGCGGCCGCACAGGUCCGUUGUGAAAACUGGAGGCUUAACCUUCAGACGUCGAUGGAAACCGUGCGGCUAGAGUCCGGAAGAGGAGAAUGGAAUUCCUGGUGUAGCGGUGAAAUGCGCAGAUAUCAGGAAGAACACCCGUGGCUAAGGCGGUUCUCUAGUACGGUACUGACGCUGAGACGCGAAAGCGUGGGGAGCGAACAGG